This 462-nucleotide ribosomal RNA is filed under the name uncultured bacterium. RNAcentral's name for it is "partial 16S ribosomal RNA". It matches the Rfam family "Bacterial small subunit ribosomal RNA", at positions 28 to 507 of the family's 1533-position model. The record is from RNAcentral.
GAUGAACGCUGACAGAAUGCUUAACACAUGCAAGUCUUUGGCGAAGCUGUGCUUGCACAGCCUAGCCAAGGCGGACGGGUGAGUAACGCGUAAGGAACUUGCCCUGCAGUCAGGGAUAACAGACGGAAACGACUGAUAAGACCUGGUAAAGUCAGGCGGACUCAUGUCCAGCCUGAUGAAAAGAGGUGCUGCAGGAGAGCCUUGCGUCCUAUUAGCUUGUUGGUGGGGUAACGGCCCACCAAGGCGAUGAUAGGUAGCCGGCCUGAGAGGGUGGACGGCCACAAGGGGACUGAGAUACGGCCCUUACUCCUACGGGAGGCAGCAGUGGGGAAUAUUGGACAAUGGGGGCAACCCUGAUCCAGCAAUUCUGUGUGCACGAUGAAGGUUUUCGGAUUGUAAAGUGCUUUCAGCAGGGAAGAAAAAAUGACGGUACCUGCAGAAGAAGCGACGGCUAAAUACGUG